RNAcentral lists this ribosomal RNA (557 nucleotides) under uncultured bacterium. Its description in RNAcentral is "partial 16S ribosomal RNA". It matches the Rfam family "Bacterial small subunit ribosomal RNA", at positions 355 to 901 of the family's 1533-position model. The record is from RNAcentral.
UGGGGAAUUUUGGACAAUGGGCGCAAGCCUGAUCCAGCAAUGCCGCGUGCAGGAUGAAGGCCUUCGGGUUGUAAACUGCUUUUGUACGGAACGAAAAGCCUCUCUCUAAUACAGGGGGGUGAUGACGGUACCGUAAGAAUAAGCACCGGCUAACUACGUGCCAGCAGCCGCGGUAAUACGUAGGGUGCAAGCGUUAAUCGGAAUUACUGGGCGUAAAGCGUGUGCAGGCGGUUUUGUAAGACAGUGGUGAAAUCCCCGGGCUCAACCUGGGAACUGCCAUUGUGACUGCAAGGCUGGAGUGCGGCAGAGGGGGGAUGGAAUUCCGCGUGUAGCAGUGAAAUGCGUAGAUAUGCGGAGGAACACCGAUGGCGAAGGCAAUCCCCUGGGCCUGCACUGACGCUCAUGCACGAAAGCGUGGGGAGCAAACAGGAUUAGAUACCCUGGUAGUCCACGCCCUAAACGAUGUCAACUGGUUGUUGGGGAUUUAUUUCUUCAGUAACGAAGCUGAACGCGUGAAGUUGACCGCCUGGGGGAGUACGGCCNCAAGGUUAAAAACU